This 782-nucleotide long non-coding RNA is filed under the name Capsicum annuum. RNAcentral describes it as "long non-coding RNA (CANN_LNC021423)". Lineage: Eukaryota; Viridiplantae; Streptophyta; Magnoliopsida; Solanales; Solanaceae. The record is from RNAcentral.
UCUGAACAUCUAGUCUGAAAAGCCUCUAAAACUAUCUAAACUAUGGAGUUGAUAGGACAAUCCCCCAACUAACUCCGACUACUGAAAAUACUGAAUCUAAUGUAAUAAGGAAAUAAGUACAAUCCUCGAAUGAUGAGGAAUCACUGCUAAGUCUACUAUUGUUGGCUGAAUCUGAGCUGCUAAGGGUGCUCUGGAGCCCAAGAGUCUGAACCUAUGGUAUGAGACACCAUAGCGCAAGAGAAAAGCAUGAGUCAAUAUGUGAGAAUGUAUUGGUAUGCUAGAUGAGGUAAGGCUGAAUGCAGGGGUUCAUAUGUAUAAACAAUACCGACUGAAUAACAUAAGUAUGCUGAAUAUGGAUACAUGCAUAAAUGUACAAACUAUAACGGAAAUCGUAGUGACACUGAAUACUGAGUUCUAAUAAUUGGAAUACUAAUAAUUGAGUUUACUAAUACUAAAUUUCUGAUAAAUGAGUCUACUAAUACCAUAUUAUUGAUAACUACUGUGGGGUCAAUCCUACCUAAUGGGUGGACCCAGAGAAUAGGCCUAUCUAGCGGGUGAUCUCUGAAUCUACUGAUGUAUUACUAAUAAUUAUUAUGGGGAUGGUCCUAUCUAAUGGGUGACCCUGAGAUCAGGUCUACCUAGAGAGUGAUAUCUAAAUAUACUAUUGUAUUACUGAUUGACUGUAUGUAAUAGUACCAAACUGAGUUCUACUCUGAAGACUGAGACUGAAACUGUGGGAGGUAAUCUUCUAACCGAUGUGCCUUUUUCUAGAUAAUUUGGGG